Molecule: long non-coding RNA, 5853 nt
Organism: Loxodonta africana (African savanna elephant)
Lineage: Eukaryota; Metazoa; Chordata; Mammalia; Proboscidea; Elephantidae
Exons: 2
Source: RefSeq, a predicted model, not a curated record
AACAACAUAACCAACAGCAUCCGUGGUCACGAGGCUUAAUGUUACACCUCCAAUGUUGGGCUGACAGCGGUAUUUUGCCUUCCCAGAGUAAACUGUUAACAGUCCUAAAUGUCAAUUGGUACCAUGCGUUAUUUCUGUCAUGAUAGGCAAUCCUAUAAAACCUAAUUCUUAUUCUCUAAACCAUGCAUUCUCAACAGGGGAAUAUCACCUCCAAAACCCAAAACAAACCAGUUGCGGCCGAGUCGACUGAAACUCGCAGCAACCCUGCGUGUUGCAGAGUUGAACUGCACCCCAUCGGGUUUCCAAGGCUGUGAAAUUUCUGAAGGAGAUAGCCAGGCCUUUCUUCUGAGGCAUCUCUGAAUGGGUUCGGACCGCCAACCUUUUGGUUAGUAGUUGAGUGCUUAACCAUUUACACCACCCAGGAAUCCAACCUCACCUCCAAGGGGCCAAAAAUUGGUUCUUGGAUAGUGAAAAAAACUUACUUUUUUAAAGUAUAAACCACAGGUAUACACACAGAACAAUAGUGCAUAUAUAUUAUAUGAAAUUUUCACAGGGGAAAAAUAUCAAAAAGCCGCUGGCGGACGGGCUGGAUGAUGAUAAAAGGCUGAGAAACACUGCUGUCGAUCGGCAGCUCAUGAACUUGGCUGCCCAUUAGAAUUACCUGAGGAACUUUAAAAAAUCCUGGUGCCUUGGUUUCACUCCCAGAGUUUCUGAUGUCAUUGGUCUGGGGUGUGGCCUGAGUUUGGUAGAUUUAAAAGCUUGCAGAUGAGGGCAGCCAAGUUUGAGAACACCGCCCUGGAUGGCAGAUGACACAAACCUUCCCUUCCUCCCUCCAACCCACGCUGUGGCAGAAAUGACUAAACCGCCAGGAUGCUCUCUCCCACAAAGCCCAGGUGUGGCUUUGGAAUUUUUUCUAGCUAUUAUUUUUGCAAUUUGUUGGAGUUGACACGUGAAAUGAGCCCUGUUUGCCAUCCCUGUUCUAGAUGGCCCCCUGGACUAGAACAGAACCAAAAAGCGAACCUUGAUGUUUUAGCCCCCAGACGUUUCUCAUUAAGUGUCAUGCCUUAUACUUCCUCAUCAUGAUUUUUUUUGAACAGCAUAAGGAGAGUAGAGAACGAAAACUGGUGGUAAACAAGAAGAGAGGAGGAAGUUCGUCUGGCAGAUGCCUAAGUCAUUAUCGGGUGCCGCCAAGUCGAUUCUGACUCAUAGUGACCCUAUGUGACACAGAGGAACUGCUUCAUAGAGUUUCCUAGGCUGUAGCCCUGGUGGUGCAGUAGUUAAACAGCUCGGCUGCUAACUGACAGGUUGGCGGUUGAAACCCACCAGCUGCUCCAUGGGAGAAAGAUGCGGCAGUCUGCUUCUGUAAAGAUUUACAGCCUUGGAAACCCUGUGGGCAGUUCUACUCUGUCCUAUAGGGUCACUAUAAGUCAGAAUCGACUUCGUGGCAAUGGUUUGGCUUAGUCUUUGGAGUCUUUAUCUGCUUCAUUUUACCGACCACUGGGCUCUCAGAUUGGAAUGUAUUACUGAUGGGAAAAGGGUGGAUAGUGGCUCAGAGAUGAGAUUCUUCCUCUUCAGAGCCUGGCUUACCAUAUCCCUCUCUCUGUGAAAUUCAUGCAAACCCAAAACGGACAUGCUGGCCAUCCUGCUUCUUGGGAAAACCGGGCUUCAACCAUCCUUUGUAGUCUUCUCUCUAGUGAGGUCUGCGGUUGUCAGGGUAACAGGAAAGAGCUGAAAGUCGGUUAAGAAAUGCCAAGAAUCAGUACUCCUGUUUGCUGGGACCCCAAGGCAGCUGGUUCACCAGUCACAGAGGUGGAGAGCACGGGUGUGUAAGCUGAGAGGUAGGGGGAGGAAGAGAAGCAGGAAAAGUUUGCAGGCAUCCUAGGAGUCCCUGGGGGGUGCAAACGGUUGAUGAACGCUGCUAACCGAAAGAUUGGGUGUUCCAGUUCACCCAGUGGUAACUUGGAAGAAAGGCCUGGCGAUCUAGGCCCAGAAAAAUCAGCUAUUGAAAACCCUAUGGAACACAGUUCUACUCUGACACAUAUGAGGUCGCUGUGAGUCAGUCAACUCAGCGGCAACUGCUAAACUGUCAGGAAUCCUGACCACCUUAGUUACACAUUCUGUAUCAAGCAACCAUGAUCAUUUUUUUUAAGACACAGAGUUCUAUAUGUAAACAUAGCCUUCUCCCAGCCCCAACACUGCAAGAGCUCUUAACGCGUAGUGGGAGAUCACACAGGUAAGGCCAACGAGUUGUUUCGGUUACAAAGACCUGCUCGGAGAGCGUGUCACGGUAAAAUUUAAAUUCGGCAUGAGUAUCUUUAUUCAUGAGUCUGGAUUCCUCAGAGUGAGGAUGUGUGUGCUUGUAUUCUCAUUUCAGUCAGCUUUCACAUCCAUCACAAAACACUCCAAUACAUGUAUUUGGCCUGCAGUUAGCACCUAUUCCUCCAGAGCCACGAGCAUUUUAUAAACAUUAACUCACUCACAUUAGUGAAAAGCAUCGUAUCCGACCACGGAGCCCACUGGAAAAGCCAACGACCUGCUUGGCUCUUAGCAAAACUGCUUUAUUGAUGGCUUCUGUGGAUUGAGUUGACACCGCCCUCCCUGCUCUGAUCUCCUUAUUUCAGGCCCACAACCGCCCGCCUGGCUUGGCCUCCUCUCUGCGCUCCCUGCUUCUGUCCUGGGAGUCCGCGCCUGGGCAAGGGCGCCCACCUAGGUCCCAGGGCGAGGGUCUGAGGCUCCCAAAGCCCUCCAUCAGGCGCCCUCCUCCCGUCGGGACCACUUGUCUGGAGGACUUCUCCGGGGCCCCUCGGCAGGACGCUGCUGUGGGGCCCAGCAGACAAGCCCCCAUUGUUGCCGGAGACCCCGGGGCGCACGGGCGGGGCACGCCUCUCUGCUUUCGGAGGCCGGGAACGUGCUGGGGAGAAGGCGGGCCCUGCUGUCAGCCCGGGGAACAAAAGCCGCCAGGGCCAGGCUGGUUUGCAAGAUCAACAUUCAUGAGUUCGACCGCUUAGAAAGGCGAAUUGUGUGCAACCCUGGGCCUGAAUGGGAGCCAUAAAUAAGGGAUUUCACACUACCAAGCUAGAAGAAUCUUCUGCCUCCUAAAAUAUUCUGAACAGCUUGUACGGCCCCUCCCAGGUUCCCACCGCGGGCGGGCUCUCGGGUGUGUGCGUGUGAGUGCCCAAGCCUGGCUGUCAGGGGCCAGGGGACUGGAUGCAGCGCCCGUGUCGCUCCCGAAACGUCAGUCCGGGUUUUCCCGGGAGCUGCGCCGGCGGUCUGUUCCAGUCGUGCGGAUCCAGGCCCGGAUUUCCCGCCUGCCGCCGCCCGCGCGCUGGGGCCCCGGCCUGAGCCCCUGCGCAGGCGCGUUUCACAUUUGCUCGCCCCGCACCCUAUCAAAGGCUUUCAUCCGCCGCCGGAGCAGGGACGUGCGCCCCCCCCACCCCAGCUACCCUCCUUGUAACCCGCUUUACUCUGAAAUGUAAAUGUGCCCCUUGAUGCGAAAGGGAAGGGCAACCGGGUGUUGGAUUUUUUUUUUUUUUGCAGUCCGUGCACACAUAUGCCUCCCCCUCCAGCCCUUGUGCGGGCCCACCUAGUGCCUCGACCUCCCCUUCUCCCCCAUGGAGCUGUGCAGACCCCGCAGAGGCCCCGGACUCGGCCUCCCCUUCUCCCUCGUGGAGCUGUGCAGACCCCGCAGGGGCUCCGGACUCGGCCUCCCCUUCUCCCUCGUGGAGCUGUGCAGACCCCGCAGGGGCCCCAGACUCGGCUCCCCCUUCUCCCUAUGGCUGUCCUCCGCCUACUGGUCCCUGUUCCUUUACAGUCGUCAUGCUGUGCAAGCAUCGCCAGUAUCCAGUGCCGAGUUUCCCAUCACCAUCAACAGCUGCUCACUGCUUCCUGAACAGUGGCUCCCCGGUCCCCCUCCCUCCUGCCCCUGGUAACCACUUAUAAACUUUGGUCUCUGCGCAUUUGCCUGUUUUAGGUAUUUGGUACGAGUGGAAUCAUACAAUACUUAACUUUUUGUGUCUGACUUAAUUCACUCGGCGUAAUGUUUUCAGGGUUCGUCCAUGUUGUCGCGUGUAUCAGGACUUCAUUUCUCUUUAUGGCUGAGAAAUAUUCCAUUGCAUAGACAGACUACAUUUGAAGAAAUAUUAUUUAAUACAGCUUAGGGAACAGAUGGCUAGGGCCUGGCUUUGCUAGAAAAAAAAAAAGCAUUAUGCUGCUGUUACCUGAUGAGGGUCCGUGUCCUGGAGCAGUCGAGCCAAUGAAACAUACUCCAAGUCCGAAAGAGUGAGAAAGUUUAUUAAGGAGGUGCAUACAUCACCGGGGACCGGCAGCAACACAGGCUGUCUCUGUGGGGUCCCAAAGAGCAGUUUUACAUUAGAGCUUAUGUAGAAUCUGACAAGGGUUACAGGUGUCUUUGUAGUCCCCUGCCAGACAUUUCUUUAUUAGGCUAAAGAUAUACAUAUCUGAUACCUGGGCUCCACCUUUCCUGUGGGGGUUGUAGGCCACAGGUGGUCCGGACAGAACAAGAGGUUAUUUGCAUCAUUUAAAGCAAAGAACAAAGUCCUUAACAUUUGGUCAAAACAAAGUCAUUAACAGAAGUAUGUGAGGAGGCAGGCAGAGGAAGAACAACUUAUAGGUUUAUCAUGGCCUUAGUUAUGUUAAGCUCUCAGUUGCCCAUUUUGAAAAAGGAGGAAACACACUGGGGAGUAUUGGGGCCACAGAAGGAAACAACCUUGGUUUAGCUUCUCUGUUGUUAGUUGCCUCCAGGUGGAACCUGACGCCUGGCAACCCCUGUGUGCGGAGUAGCACAGCUCCGUGGGGUUUUGCGAGGCUGUGACCUUUCAAAAGUAGAUCACCAGGCCUUUCUUCUGUGGUGCCUCUGGGUGGGUUCGAACCGCCAACCUUUUGGCACGGUCAAGCACUUAACCAUGUGUGCUACCCAGAGACUCCAUCCAAAGCAUCUGAAUGACCGGUCAGUUUGUAGUGGCGCGUUCUGAAUUGUUGCCGGUUGUUUUUUCUGCAUUUGGCUCCGUUAGGCAGAACCUGUGUAUAGUGGAGAAAUUGCAUCUUUUAGCUGGUGUCUAAAAUGAGUCCCCAGCCGGCCCACGAUGAACACGGAGGUUUUGGAGCCUGCCUGAUGGAGCUGCCCCAGCACGCGGAGUACCUGUGGGGAGGCUGCUGCCCUGGAGAACGCCCGCCCCUCUGAACGUACGUAAUCCCCUUCCCAGGGGAGAGGCUUCCCGAAACGACUUGAGCCACUGUAUACAGGAAAAUGGUUCAUCGAUCUUGUAGCCGGAAAUGUCCGAGGAGCUCAAUGCAGGAGGAUGGGCCUUUGAUCUGAGGGUGGAGCACACGCAGGCUGGGGGACAGGCGGCCCCAAGUUAAGUCAGACGGUGAGUGAGGCUGUGGAAUUUUACCAAAGCUUUUUUUGUGCGUGCAUUGCGGUUUAUCCUGGGAAGUACAAACAGAUCACCAGAGAGCAAACCUAAAAUUUCAAACAGUAAAAGCUGUCCCCAGUGAUCUUUAUCAAGGUAGACCCUGGUCUCGCCAGAAAAUGCUGUGUUCUCCUGUGGUUAUUAAAAAUAACAUUCUCAAAGCGACACUUCCCUGUUGGGGCGCCCCUGGGGAAAUGGCUGGAUUUGGCUUCCUGGGUGCUGGUCAGCUGGCCCGCUGUGCUCCCUGAUUGCGAUUCACCGUGAUUUCUCCUGCCGCCCUGCCCGUGAGGACUGUGGAGCAGUCUGUCUCGGUGUGGGAGAAGUGAUUAGGGGCAUGGAGGGAUCACCCUGCUGCUAUCAGCACUGAAGUAUUUUCAAGGAAUUGACCUUGCAGUCGCUGCCAGUUGGAAACCAUGGCAACCAC